AGCGAACGCUGGCGGCAGGCUUAACACAUGCAAGUCGAGCGCCCGUAGCAAUACGGGAGCGGCAGACGGGUGAGUAACACGUGGGAACGUGCCUUUUGGUUCGGAACAACUGAGGGAAACUUCAGCUAAUACCGGAUAAGCCCUUACGGGGAAAGAUUUAUCGCCAAAAGAUCGGCCCGCGUCUGAUUAGCUAGUUGGUGGGGUAAUGGCCCACCAAGGCUACGAUCAGUAGCUGGUCGAGAGGAUGAUCAGCCACACUGGGACUGAGACACGGCCCAGACUCCUACGGGAGGCAGCAGUGGGAAUCUUGGACAAUGGGCGCAAGCCUGAUCCAGCCAUGCCGCGUGAGUGAUGAAGG
RNAcentral lists this ribosomal RNA (358 nucleotides) under uncultured bacterium. RNAcentral describes it as "bacterial SSU rRNA". It matches the Rfam family "Bacterial small subunit ribosomal RNA", at positions 29 to 414 of the family's 1533-position model. The record is from RNAcentral.